UGCUGCCUUCCUUGCAUGUGGUAGCCAUUUCUCAGGGUCCCUGUACAGAAUGGAACCCUGACUCCCCAUUACCCGUGGUCACCAUGGUAGGCACAGAAACUGGCAUCGAAAGUUGAUAUGGAUGACAUCCAAAUGCAAAGUCGCCAUCACGGGGAUGUGCGAUUGGCCCGAGGUUCUCUAGAGUCAACAAAGUGCCUGCGCAACUAUAAUGUCAACAGCUACUCUGCGGAACAGAG
Molecule: non-coding RNA, 236 nt
Organism: Pelobates cultripes (western spadefoot toad)
Lineage: Eukaryota; Metazoa; Chordata; Amphibia; Anura; Pelobatidae
Source: the annotation of a GenBank genome assembly